RNAcentral lists this long non-coding RNA (1797 nucleotides) under Macaca fascicularis (crab-eating macaque). RNAcentral describes it as "lncRNA (ENSMFAG00000055092.1)". Lineage: Eukaryota; Metazoa; Chordata; Mammalia; Primates; Cercopithecidae. The record is from RNAcentral.
UUUUUUUUUUUUUGAGAUGUAGUCUCGCUGCAUCACCCAGGCUGGAGUGCAGUGGCGUGAUCUCAGCUCACUGCAACCUCCGCCUCCCAGGUUCAAACUAUUCUCCUGUCUCGGCCUCCUAAUUAGCUGGCAUUAUAGGCACCUGCCACCAGGCCCAGUUAAUCUUUGUAUUUUUAGUAGAGACAGGGUUUCACCAUGUUGGCCAGGCUGGUCUCGAACUCCUGACCUCAGGUGAUCCACCCGCCUUGGCCUCCCAAAGUGCUGAGAUUACCAGCAUGAGCCACCAUGCCAGGCCACUACAUUUACUUUUAAUGUCUUCUUGGUCUCCUUGAGUCUGUUUCUUAGAUAACUGAAAUUUUAAUUGAGAUAACAGCAGAUUCACAUGUAGUUAUAAGAAGAAAUACAGACAGAUUUCUUGUAUACUUUGACGAGUUUCCCCAAAUGGCAACAUUUUUUAAAAUUACAGUACAAUAUCACAACCAGAAUAUUGGCAUUAAUAAGUCAACUGCAUUCAGGUUUCUACAGUUUUACUAGUACUCAUUAGUGUGUGUGCGAGUGUAUGUGUAUGUGUCAGUGUGUCAAGUCUAUACAAUUCUGUCACCUGUAUAGAUUCAAGGAUCUACCUUCACAGUCAAGAUACUGAACAGUUUCAACACUAUAAGGAUUCCCUGUGUUGCCCUUUUACAAUCAGCAUACCUCCUAUCCCUGUGUCCUUAAUGUAGCAUUUUAUCAUUAUGCCCAUCUUUGUCUCUGGUAAUUGUCUUUGCUCUGAAGUCUAAUUUAUCAAAUAUUAAUACAGCCAUUUCUGUUUUUUUAUUAAAUCAAAGUUUGCAUGGUAUAAUUUUGCAUCCUUUUCUGUCUACCUACAUUAUUCAAUUUGAAGUGACUUUCCUAUAAGCAGUAUAUAGUUGGGUCAUGUUUCUUCAUCCACUCUACCAGUCUCUGUCUUUUGAUUGGUAUAUUUAGUCCAUCUAUAUUUAAGGUAAUUAUUAAUACAUCAAGGCUUAAGUUCUUGAUCUUUUGUUCUCCUCUUCUUGCCUUCCUAUAGGUCACUUGAACAUUUCUUAGAGUCCUAUAUUAGGGUUCUCCAGAGAAACAGAACAAACUGGAUAUACAAGGGAGGAUUUAUUAGGGAAACUGGCUCACACAAUUACAGGAGCUGAGAAGUCCCACGAUAGGCUGUCUGCAAGCUGGAGAGCCAGGGAAGCCGAUGGCGCAGUGCAGGACAAGCCCAAAGCCUGAGAACCAAGGGAGCUGAUGGUAUAACUCAGUCUGAGGCCAAAGGCCCAAGAACCUGGGAGGCUGCUUGUGCUAGUCUUGAAGUCUUGAUGGCCAGAGAGCCUGGAGUUCUGAAGUCCAAGGAGAGGAGAAGACAGGUGUCCCAGCUCCAGAAGAGAAAUGAGAUUUGCCUUUUUGUUCUAUCUACGCCCUCAAACAACUGGAUGGUGGCCACCCACAUUAGGCAGGGGUAAUCUUUACUCUCAGUUCACUGAUUCCAGUGCCAACCUCUUCUGGAAACACCCUCACAGACACACACAGAGAGAAUACUUUACCAGUUAUCUAAGUCCCCCUUAACCCAGUCAAGUUGAUACCUAAAAUUAAUCAUCACAGAUUCCAGCUUGAUUUGUUUAUAUUUUUUUGAGUUUAUAUUUUUGUAUAGCUUUUAAGUGAUUACUUCAAUUACUACAAUAUAAACAUGCGACUUAUAAUAAUCUGCUUAUUAGUAACAACAUUUUACCACUCUGAACAAAGUAUGGAAACCUCACUUCCAUUUAAGUCCUUUAUCUUGAUUUAAAC